UACGUAGGGGGCAAGCGUUGUCCGGAUUUAUUGGGCGUAAAGAGCGUGUAGGCGGCCAGAUAGGUCCGUUGUGAAAACUGGAGGCUUAACCUCCAGCUGUCGAUGGAAACCAUUUGGCUAGAGUCCGGAAGAGGAGAGUGGAAUUCCUGGUGUAGCGGUGAAAUGCGCAGAUAUCAGGAAGAACACCCGUGGCGAAGGCGGCUCUCUGGGACGGUACUGACGCUGAGACGCGAAGCGUGGGAGCAACAGG
Molecule: ribosomal RNA, 250 nt
Filed under: uncultured bacterium
Lineage: Bacteria
Description: partial 16S ribosomal RNA
Rfam family: Bacterial small subunit ribosomal RNA
Source: RNAcentral